GCCACGUCAAGAUUAUCACCCAUGCUAUAGUCCAGCAAUCCAGUAUGGUCACACUGGUGAUUGAUGAGUACUGAUAUGCUUUAUUUACAAGAAAAUUUCCUUGGACAUCAGCUAAGCCUAGAAGUGCAUACCAAUACCAAGGAACCUGUAAUUUCUGCCUUCUGUAAAUCAUGAUUCCUCCAUACACCAAAGCUAAAGCUGUGUAAGUGAAGAAUGACAGAGAAAGUGGAGUAUUUACACCAAGGUUUGCCACAAGAGAAGAAGCAAAGCUAAUGAGAGCUCUAACAAAAGACACUACUUGACCUAAAAACAAAGGGUAAAAAGUUG
This 327-nucleotide unclassified non-coding RNA is filed under the name Hevea brasiliensis (rubber tree). Lineage: Eukaryota; Viridiplantae; Streptophyta; Magnoliopsida; Malpighiales; Euphorbiaceae. The record is from RNAcentral.